GCGUGACACGAGCGUGACACGAGCGUGACACGUCUUGAGCCCAACACCAAAGAAACCUCCCAACAAAACAGCUGUGGUGCUCCUGCCGUAAUGUAACAGGUGGAUCGGGGAGUGGUGAGUAUUAGUGUGCCUGAGGACCUGGCGGUGAAGUGACUUCAGGACUCACUCCGCCUCCAGGCCUCAACAGCACCGCCGACACUGUCAGUCUGCCAGAAGCAAGGGCGUCACUGUUGCCUCAGCUUUAUGUACAGUCACGUAGCUCUACCCACCACAGAAGACCCAGAUGGAAUAGUGUCAGCGGGAGUGACACGGACACGAGGAACAGAACAUAAGCACUCAACAAGAACAACAAAUGUUAGGACAGCAGCAGAAGUAGCUGCGUCUCCAUAUGUGGGCAGCCAAGUGUGUGUGCGGGGCCGGGCGCGCGUGAUGGGGAGGGAGGGCGCGCGUCCUCCAGCGCCCAGGUGGCCCGCCCGAGCAACAAGCCAAGAACGUCUGCAAUACACUCCUCGACAAAAAAACAAAACAUAAAUAAACUUACUACGCAUCUU
Molecule: long non-coding RNA, 551 nt
Organism: Procambarus clarkii (red swamp crayfish)
Lineage: Eukaryota; Metazoa; Arthropoda; Malacostraca; Decapoda; Cambaridae
Source: RefSeq, a predicted model, not a curated record